UGUGUCACUUGUGGAUGUGUAGAGU
This 25-nucleotide microRNA is filed under the name Eptesicus fuscus (big brown bat). RNAcentral describes it as "efu-miR-9229f". The record is from miRBase by way of RNAcentral. Lineage: Eukaryota; Metazoa; Chordata; Mammalia; Chiroptera; Vespertilionidae.